Molecule: ribosomal RNA, 754 nt
Filed under: Trentepohliaceae sp. Kukwa 18778
Lineage: Eukaryota; Viridiplantae; Chlorophyta; Ulvophyceae; Trentepohliales; Trentepohliaceae
Description: SSU rRNA
Rfam family: Eukaryotic small subunit ribosomal RNA
Source: RNAcentral
GCCGGCGAUGUUUCAUUCAAAUUUCUGCCCUAUCAACUUUCGACGGUAGGGUAGUGGCCUACCGUGGUGGUAACGGGUAACGGAGGAUUAGGGUUCGAUUCCGGAGAGGGAGCCUGAGAAACGGCUACCACAUCCAAGGAAGGCAGCAGGCGCGCAAAUUACCCAAAUCCCAACUCGGGGAGGUAGUGACAAGAAAUAACGAUGCUCCGGCCGUCGGUCGGGUAAUCGGAAUGAGAACAAUAUAAAUCCCUUAUCGAGGAUCAAUUGGAGGGCAAGUCUGGUGCCAGCAGCCGCGGUAAUUCCAGCUCCAAUAGCGUAUAUUUAAGUUGCUGCGGUUAAAAAGCUCGUAGUCGGAUUUCGGGUGGUACCUGCCGGUCCGCCUUUGGUGUGUACUGGCAGGCGCUACCUUUCUGCCGAGGACAGGCUCAUGGGCUUCACUGUCUGGGGCCUGGAGUCGGCGACGUCACUUUGAGUAAAUUAGGGUGUUUAAAGCAGGCAUAUGCUCUGAAUACACUAGCAUGGGAUGACACGAUAGGACUCCGGUCUAUCUUGUCGGUCUGUAGUCUGGAGUAAUGAUUAAGAGGGACAGUCGGGGGCAUUCGUAUUUCGUAGUCAGAGGUGAAAUUCUUGGAUUUACGGAAGACGAACUUCUGCGAAAGCAUUUGCCAAGGAUGUUUUCAUUGAUCAAGAACGAAAGUCGGGGGCUCGAAGACGAUUAGAUACCGUCGUAGUCUCGACCAUAAACGAUGCCGAU